GGAAACUUUAUUUGAGAAUAAUUAAGUAAUACAACAGUGCAAAACUAUAACAGAAGGAAUUUUAAAGGAGAAUAAUCAUCGGUGCUUGUAAAAAUGCAAACAACCCCAAAUGCUUUGUUUUACACGUUGUUGGUUCUGCUAUAAUGCAACACACAGAUACACUCACGACCCCAGAUGGCACAAUAGGGCAGACAUGACACAUGUACUUAACACUCCCCCUCCCGCCUCCCACCUCGGGACCCUACGAAAGGGCUCAACUAAUACCCUAGACUAGGAGGGCAGAACGGGCUAUACACACAUACAAGCUCUCUUAUACACAUUAAGCUGACACUACGUCCGCAAUAAGCAGCAUUCGUCAGCCGCAUACUACAUGCCUGACCAUAUACGACCACUGCUAGGACGCACACAAGUCAGUCUCAUACAACUAGCAUACUAAUUGUGACAACUGAUUUGAUACAACGAUUUUACAACUAUCGCUAAGACAACCACUAUAAGGAUUGACACAUACCUAUUAAAUCCAUCGUUACUCUACUGUUUACUGUGCAUUGGGAGAAAAAACAAACCUUCGUGCUAGAUCUCAGUAGCCCAAACAUCAGGCAUUACAGCAUGACAACAAUGCCACUAAAUUCUACUUUUAGCCUAACACAUGCCUGAUGUCUAGCGAGGAGAACUGCCCACACGCUUAAGGGCUAGUUAAUGCAGCAUGAGUUAACCCUUGUUUUAUGUUUAGUAUGUUAUUACAACGCAGUAAGUUAACAUAUAUAUUCAGCCUGUUAACGCUACACCUGUUUAAGCCUAAAAAUAUGUACAGUCCUCAUGAAAAUGCUCUUACACUA
Molecule: non-coding RNA, 836 nt
Organism: Pelobates cultripes (western spadefoot toad)
Lineage: Eukaryota; Metazoa; Chordata; Amphibia; Anura; Pelobatidae
Source: the annotation of a GenBank genome assembly